Molecule: long non-coding RNA, 812 nt
Organism: Bos indicus x Bos taurus (hybrid cattle)
Lineage: Eukaryota; Metazoa; Chordata; Mammalia; Artiodactyla; Bovidae
Source: Ensembl
CCCUACUCUACCAGGCUACUCCAGAAGAGUCCGGAAUAGAUUCUCCUGCCAGUGUGUUAAAUUUGCUCGCAGGUUCACCUUUGUGUGUCCACCAGCAUGAACUGCAUAAGGGAAUGCAAAUGAGCCCCUACCUGGGGAAAUCUGAGGCCAGAAGGAAGACAACGUGCAGGAGAGGAAGGUGACGGCAAUUAAAGAAGGGAUCGCCUCACUCCAGAAUGUCCGAGGCCCUUUGGAGAAACUGCUGUUUCCCCCAAACCCUCUACAUGGCCGCUUGCUAGCAGGUCUCCCCAGCGAUCACCUCCAUUGGUUUUGUCCUUUUGGCAAAACUGUUUGUUGAAUCAAUGUCAGCACUGCGAGUGAGGCCAGAAACCCCUCUCACAACCUUGGCCGAAGCAGGAAUUCAUGGGAGCUGCAAAGGGUUACGAAUAAAAUGCAGUCACAAAGGGUCAAACGUGGAUUCUGCCUUCUCUUCUGAGGCCCACCCCUCCUUCACAGAGUUUGCCUGAACCUCGGCCACAUUUCAGUCCGGUAUGAUUAUCAGAACCGCUGAGUCUCAAGUUUGCAGCUUGCUCCGUUCAUUUCUGUCAUCCCAUUGGUGAGAAGAAGUGUCUGCAGUCAUCCUUCAUAUUGGGAGGGAUGAGCUGAAGGAGGCAGGGAGAUGUCUCCUAAGGAGGAGUCUUUCCCAGCUAUCAUGGCUUCCAAACCUGCUUAUCUGGUUCCUCUGGCAACACGUUCUACAGAAGCUGUAAUGUAUAAAUAUGGGGACUCCCCCUUUCUCUCUCACAAAUAAAACAAUUUCUGGAAGGAAAACA